This 275-nucleotide ribosomal RNA is filed under the name uncultured bacterium. RNAcentral's name for it is "partial 16S ribosomal RNA". It matches the Rfam family "Bacterial small subunit ribosomal RNA", at positions 338 to 610 of the family's 1533-position model. The record is from RNAcentral.
CCUACGGGUGGCUGCAGUGGGGAAUAUUGGACAAUGGGCGAAAGCCUGAUCCAGCCACGCCGCGUGAGUGAUGAAGGCCUUCGGGUCGUAAAGCUCUGUGGGGAGGGACGAACGGCGCCGUGAAGAACGGCGAUUGACGGUACCUCCUUAGCAAGCACCGGCUAACUUCGUGCCAGCAGCCGCGGUAAUACGAAGGGUGCAAACGUUGCUCGGAAUCAUUGGGCGUAAAGCGCACGUAGGCGGCUCCGUAAGUCGGAUGUGAAAUCCCUCGGCUU